RNAcentral lists this ribosomal RNA (861 nucleotides) under uncultured bacterium. Its description in RNAcentral is "bacterial SSU rRNA". It matches the Rfam family "Bacterial small subunit ribosomal RNA", at positions 45 to 896 of the family's 1533-position model. The record is from RNAcentral.
GGCUUAACACAUGCAAGUCGAGGGGAAACGACAUCGAAAGCUUGCUUUUGAUGGGCGUCGACCGGCGCACGGGUGAGUAACGCGUAUCCAACCUGCCCACCACUUGGGGAUAACCUUGCGAAAGUAAGACUAAUACCCAAUGAUAUCUCUAGAAGACAUCUGAAAGAGAUUAAAGAUUUAUCGGUGAUGGAUGGGGAUGCGUCUGAUUAGCUUGUUGGCGGGGUAACGGCCCACCAAGGCGACGAUCAGUAGGGGUUCUGAGAGGAAGGUCCCCCACAUUGGAACUGAGACACGGUCCAAACUCCUACGGGAGGCAGCAGUGAGGAAUAUUGGUCAAUGGACGAGAGUCUGAACCAGCCAAGUAGCGUGCAGGAUGACGGCCCUAUGGGUUGUAAACCGCUUUUAUAAGGGAAUAAAGUGAGUCUCGUGAGACUUUUUGCAUGUACCUUAUGAAUAAGGACCGGCUAAUUCCGUGCCAGCAGCCGCGGUAAUACGGAAGGUCCGGGCGUUAUCCGGAUUUAUUGGGUUUAAAGGGAGCGUAGGCCGGAGAUUAAGCGUGUUGUGAAAUGUAGAUGCUCAACAUCUGCACUGCAGCGCGAACUGGUUUCCUUGAGUACGCACAAAGUGGGCGGAAUUCGUGGUGUAGCGGUGAAAUGCUUAGAUAUCACGAAGAACUCCGAUUGCGAAGGCAGCUCACUGGAGCGCAACUGACGCUGAAGCUCGAAAGUGCGGGUAUCGAACAGGAUUAGAUACCCUGGUAGUCCGCACGGUAAACGAUGGAUGCCCGCUGUUGGUCUGAAUAGGUCAGCGGCCAAGCGAAAGCAUUAAGCAUCCCACCUGGGGAGUACGCCGGCAACGGUG